Rhododendron vialii is the source of this 386-nucleotide long non-coding RNA. RefSeq lists it as uncharacterized. Lineage: Eukaryota; Viridiplantae; Streptophyta; Magnoliopsida; Ericales; Ericaceae. The transcript has 2 exons. The record is from RefSeq and is a predicted model, not a curated record.
UUUCUGCGUUCUUCUUCUUCUUUUAUCUGUGUCUCUCUCUCCUACUCAACUCUACCCAAACCCUAGACUUCAACCCUAAAAUUGGAUCUCAAGAUUCGAGAAUCUCGCAAAAAGGUAAGAAGAGAACGUGAUCUACAAACAUAGGGCUAUGCAUCUAUCCCAACAAUGUCGCAUUCAGCUAACUUUAGAGUUCCUAGCAUUUCGGGAUUUGGCUCUUUUAAGGUAAGGCGGUGGAUCCGAAGGCAUGAUAGUGUUGGAUUUGUUAUAUAUUUUUUUAGAGCUUAGUUGAUAUUCUUGUAUUCCAUUAAUUUGAUAGUAAGAUUUUGGAAGUCCAGUGACUUGGUAUUCUUUUGGGUUUGUAAUAAAUUUAAUUACAUAUUUUGACU